GGACCAAUAAAUUGUCCAAAUAAAAGCUUUAAUGUAGUAAUAAUUGCUAUUUAUUAUUUCCAAGAAAAAUGACUCUUUAAACUGUACAAUAUAACAAAUAAUAAUAAUAAUAGUAAUAAUCCCUCCUGCAGAUACAGAGUUUGAUUUGGAAGCUGAUCGAUCUAGACACAGAAACAGGAUCCAGUAACAGAUCUCAGAGAGAACAAAUCGGAAACAAAAGGUGAGCAAAUAAAGGUUGAUUUAC
This 244-nucleotide unclassified non-coding RNA is filed under the name Hevea brasiliensis (rubber tree). Lineage: Eukaryota; Viridiplantae; Streptophyta; Magnoliopsida; Malpighiales; Euphorbiaceae. The record is from RNAcentral.